Molecule: ribosomal RNA, 604 nt
Filed under: uncultured bacterium
Lineage: Bacteria
Description: bacterial SSU rRNA
Rfam family: Bacterial small subunit ribosomal RNA
Source: RNAcentral
CCGACUCCUACGGGAGGCAGCAGUAGGGAAUCUUCGGCAAUGGACGAAAGUCUGACCGAGCAACGCCGCGUGAGUGAAGAAGGUUUUCGGAUCGUAAAACUCUGUUGGUAGAGAAGAACGUUGGUGAGAGUGGAAAGCUCAUCAAGUGACGGUAACUACCCAGAAAGGGACGGCUAACUACGUGCCAGCAGCCGCGGUAAUACGUAGGUCCCGAGCGUUGUCCGGAUUUAUUGGGCGUAAAGCGAGCGCAGGUGGUUUAUUAAGUCUGGUGUAAAAGGCAGUGGCUCAACCAUUGUAUGCAUUGGAAACUGGUAGACUUGGGUGCAGGAGAGGAGAGUGGAAUUCCAUGUGUAGCGGUGAAAUGCGUAGAUAUAUGGAGGAACACCGGUGGCGAAAGCGGCUCUCUGGCCUGUAACUGACACUGAGGCUCGAAAGCGUGGGGAGCAAACAGGAUUAGAUACCCUGGUAGUCCACGCCGUAAACGAUGAGUGCUAGAUGUAGGGAGCUAUAAGUUCUCUGUAUCGCAGCUAACGCAAUAAGCACUCCGCCUGGGGAGUACGACCGCAAGGUUGAAACUCAAAGGAAUUGACGGGGCCCGCACAAG